RNAcentral lists this ribosomal RNA (440 nucleotides) under uncultured bacterium. Its description in RNAcentral is "partial 16S ribosomal RNA". It matches the Rfam family "Bacterial small subunit ribosomal RNA", at positions 339 to 795 of the family's 1533-position model. The record is from RNAcentral.
CUACGGGGGGCUCCAGCAGGGAAUAUUGCACAAUGGACGGAAGUCUGAUGCAGCGACGCCGCGUGGAUGAUGAAGGCCUUCGGGUUGUAAAAUCCUUUUCAGGGGGAAGAGAGAGGACGGUACCCUUGGAAUAAGCGUCGGCUAACUACGUGCCAGCAGCCGCGGUAAGACGUAGGACGCGAGCGUUAUCCGGAUUUACUGGGCGUAAAGCGUCUGUAGGCGGGUUCGUAAGUUGGGCGUGAAAGCUCCGGGCUCAACCCGGAGAGGACGUUCAAUACUGCGAAGCUAGAGGCCAUCAGAGGGGCGUGGAAUUUCCGGUGUAGCGGUAAAAUGCGCAGAUAUCGGAAGGAACACCAGUGGCGAAGGCGGCGCCCUGGGGUGGGCCUGACGCUAAGAGACGAAAGCUAGGGGAGCGAACAGGAUUAGAUACCCGGGUAGUC